CCUAAGGUAGCGAAAUUCCUUGUCGGGUAAGUUCCGACCUGCACGAAUGGCGUAAUGAUGGCCAGGCUGUCUCCACCCGAGACUCAGUGAAAUUGAACUCGCUGUGAAGAUGCAGUGUACCCGCGGCAAGACGGAAAGACCCCGUGAACCUUUACUAUAGCUUGACACUGAACAUUGAGCCUUGAUGUGUAGGAUAGGUGGGAGGCUUUGAAGUGUGGACGCCAGUCUGCAUGGAGCCGACCUUGAAAUACCACCCUUUAAUGUUUGAUGUUCUAACGUUGGCCCCUAAUCGGGGUUGCGGACAGUGUCUGGUGGGUAGUUUGACUGGGGCGGUCUCCUCCUAAAGAGUAACGGAGGAGCACGAAGGUUGGCUAAUCCUGGUCGGACAUCAGGAGGUUAGUGCAAUGGCAUAAGCCAGCUUGACUGCGAGCGUGACGGCGCGAGCAGGUGCGAAAGCAGGUCAUAGUGAUCCGGUGGUUCUGAAUGGAAGGGCCAUCGCUCAACGGAUAAAAGGUACUCCGGGGAUAACAGGCUGAUACCGCCCAAGAGUUCAUAUCGACGGCGGUGUUUGGCACCUCGAUGUCGGCUCAUCACAUCCUGGGGCUGAAGUAGGUCCCAAGGGUAUGGCUGUUCGCCAUUUAAAGUGGUACGCGAGCUGGGUUUAGAACGUCGUGAGACAGUUCGGUCCCUAUCUGCCGUGGGCGCUGGAGAACUGAGGGGGGCUGCUCCUAGUACGAGAGGACCGGAGUGGACGCAUCACUGGUGUUCGGGUUGUCAUGCCAAUGGCACUGCCCGGUAGCUAAAUGCGGAAGAGAUAAGUGCUGAAAGCAUCUAAGCACGAAACUUGCCCCGAGAUGAGUUCUCCCUGAGACUUAGAGUCUCCUGAAGGAACGUUGAAGACGACGACGUUGAUAGGCCGGGUGUGUAAGCGCAGCGAUGCGUUGAGCUAACCGGUACUAAUGAACCGUGAGGCUUAACCUU
This 981-nucleotide ribosomal RNA is filed under the name metagenome. Its description in RNAcentral is "bacterial LSU rRNA". It matches the Rfam family "Bacterial large subunit ribosomal RNA", at positions 1950 to 2925 of the family's 2925-position model. RNAcentral also lists the same sequence under 1 other name. The record is from RNAcentral.